This 2189-nucleotide long non-coding RNA is filed under the name Mus musculus (house mouse). Its description in RNAcentral is "long non-coding RNA chr12:110590511-110592700". The record is from RNAcentral. Lineage: Eukaryota; Metazoa; Chordata; Mammalia; Rodentia; Muridae.
CUCCUUAAGAUUUUAUUUUUUUAAAUGUGUUUGUUUCUGUAUGUGGAUUUGUACAUAUGAGUGCAAGUGCCCACGGAAGCAAGAGGGUGUUCGGUCCCCUGGGGCUAGGGUUAUAAAUAGUCUGUCCCUAACGUGGGACUCUAAACUCGGAUUGUCCGGAAGAACUGUACAUGGACCUAACUGCUGAGCGGUCUCCAUAAAAUAUGGCCAAAUUGAAACUAGAAAGGUUCUGGCACUCAUUCCAAAUUCGAAUUCAUCCUCACCCCAGGACUAACUUUUCCUGCCGGCCCAACACCUUCUUCUCAAACAUUCCACACUGCAGCCAAGAGGGAGCUUGCAAAAACAUCCCUCCAACCAGUCACCCCAGGAUAGCCCGUGAGCCCUCUACAAGCAAUGUCCCUAUUACCCUACUUAUCGCUGUACCUUCAGUCUGGCACCGUGUGGGACACUCAAAACUGCGUCUGAUGGACGCAAUGUACAGAUAAAUGUGGGAUCAGCGAGAACAGCAAGAUCCAAGUGGAGAGGCAAUCAAAUGUGGGUACGUGUGUGUAAGGUGGACGUGCUGACAUACGCCUUCCAUGCCAGCACUGGAAAGGUGGAGGCAGGAGCAUCAGAGUUGGGACUCAGCACGGCUACCCGGCAUCCAAACCAAAGAGCAAGCGGAUGGCAGCAGGUACCCCGUAGGAAUGAGACAAAGCGCAUGCAGAAAACGGAGAAGAGUUCAAAGUCAACAGGAUAUCAGCUCAGCACAGCUGCACCAGAACACGGCAGCAGGACAAGGGCGGCCCCGGGAAGGUCUCUGCCAUCUCGGCAGGGCGGAGAUCUCCGCAAGGCGCAGCCUCCACGGCGCACGUGACUGGAUGAGUCACCGCGCCAGGAAGCCGCACGAAACCUCGGUUCGGCAGCUCGAACGCAGGCUGACUUAGGACAAGGCAGCGACGUCUAGAGGAAGCCGCAGAGGGGGCCGCGUCCCUUGGCGGGAGGGGAGUGAGGGCCGCGGACGGCCCGGACCCAAGCUUAGACGCUUGGCCCACGGCACACAGGACAGGGAGACCGACUACCUUCACCUAAACGCUGGCGCAGGGAAAUGACGCAGCGCAUCGACCAAUCGGGAAGUGUCUGACUCUGAAUCUCGCGAUAUUCACGGGAGGAAAAUGAGCCAAUCGCAAUGCCCCUUCUUCCAGGCCGCGGUGAUUGGCUUGAGGACUCACAUGAUCGUUCGAGGCCACACGUGACCGCUCCCCUGGCGACACGUGAUCGACCUGCCACUCUGCAGAAGUGGCUUCUGGACAGCGGCAAACAGGCGUCCGUGGAACUGAACGGCAGGUCCUGGGUUACAGCCCCGUCACUUUCCACUUGAUAGGCGGGGUUGGUGACCAGGGUCCCAUGUGACCCCCGUCAUGGAACCCCGAGACGCGACCGUAGCGUGGAUAGGACAGGGCCAACCUGUCCCCUGUAGCAGCUCUGAGAACUGAAGUAGGUGGGAGGCUGGGGAUGCCGAGAGAUUAACGAAAGAAACCAGUAAGCAGGGUCAGGAAACUCGUCCCACCUAAGUGGCGUGUACCGGACACGUGGUAACGUAAAGAGGUAGAGGUGCUUGCUAUGUAAAUAACUAUGGAGGACCAGAACUCACAUAGAUGAGGACUUUGAGCACCCCGUCUUUCCCACUACCACUCACUGGGUGCCUCUUUCUUUCCUUCUUUCUCUAAUUUACUCAUAAGACAGGGUCUCGCCUUGGCUAGCCUUAUUGUCUGUCUGUCUGUCUGUCUAUAAAACAGAGUCUCUUCUUGGCUGACCUGGAACUCACUGUGUAGACCCUAAACUCAAGAGAUGUCCCUGCCUCUGCCCUAAGAAUAAAGGCGUGCACUUCCUGGCUUGACUUCUGUCUCCCUCUCUCCUUUCUUUGUAGUAAACUGCCUGUCUCCGACUCUGUCCCUGAGUCUUACUGUUCUAGGGCUCAAAAAUCUGGAAAUUUGUGCUGAUUCCCUCCAGGGUCAUAGCCAUGCCUGUUCCAAGGAAGCCCUAGCGAUGUCUGUUUCCCACUGCUUCCUGCCCAAGAUACUGGUAACCCUGGAAGGUAGCCCUGGUGUGGGGGUGCUGUCAGAAGCAUGGACACAAUUCUCUCUCUCCAUGAUGUUAGAAUUUCCUGAAUAAUAAAUUGGCAGUCUGCAUCCCUUGUAUUGAUGUAA